GAUGAACGCUGGCGGCGUGCCUAAUACAUGCAAGUCGAGCGAACAGAUGAGGAGCUUGCUCCUCUGACGUUAGCGGCGGACGGGUGAGUAACACGUGGAUAACCUACCUAUAAGACUGGGAUAACUUCGGGAAACCGGAGCUAAUACCGGAUAAUAUAUUGAACCGCAUGGUUCAAUAGUGAAAGACGGUUUUGCUGUCACUUAUAGAUGGAUCCGCGCCGCAUUAGCUAGUUGGUACGGUAACGGCUUACCAAGGCAACGAUGCGUAGCCGACCUGAGAGGGUGAUCGGCCACACUGGAACUGAGACACGGUCCAGACUCCUACGGGAGGCAGCAGUAGGGAAUCUUCCGCAAUGGGCGAAAGCCUGACGGAGCAACGCCGCGUGAGUGAUGAAGGUCUUCGGAUCGUAAAACUCUGUUAUUAGGGAAGAACAAAUGUGUAAGUAACUAUGCACGUCUUGACGGUACCUAAUCAGAAAGCCACGGCUAACUACGUG
RNAcentral lists this ribosomal RNA (497 nucleotides) under uncultured bacterium. Its description in RNAcentral is "partial 16S ribosomal RNA". It matches the Rfam family "Bacterial small subunit ribosomal RNA", at positions 28 to 507 of the family's 1533-position model. The record is from RNAcentral.